This 591-nucleotide ribosomal RNA is filed under the name Leptographium piceaperdum. Its description in RNAcentral is "eukaryotic LSU rRNA". It matches the Rfam family "Eukaryotic large subunit ribosomal RNA", at positions 1 to 597 of the family's 3401-position model. Lineage: Eukaryota; Fungi; Ascomycota; Sordariomycetes; Ophiostomatales; Ophiostomataceae. The record is from RNAcentral.
UUGACCUCGGAUCAGGUAGGACUACCCGCUGAACUUAAGCAUAUCAAUAAGCGGAGGAAAAGAAACCAACAGGGAUUGCCCCAGUAACGGCGAGUGAAGCGGCAACAGCUCAGAUUUGGAAUCUGGCCCCUAGGGCCCGAGUUGUAAUCUGGAGAGGAUGUUUCUGGCGCGGCGCCUUCCGAGUUCCCUGGAACGGGACGCCGGAGAGGGUGAGAGCCCCGUACGGUUGGACGCCUAGCCUUUGUGAAACUCCUUCGACGAGUCGAGUAGUUUGGGAAUGCUGCUCAAAAUGGGAGGUAAAUUUCUUCUAAAGCUAAAUACCGGCCAGAGACCGAUAGCGCACAAGUAGAGUGAUCGAAAGAUGAAAAGCACUUUGAAAAGAGGGUCAAACAGUACGUGAAAUUGUUGAAAGGGAAGCGCCCGUGGCCAGACUUGUACCCCGCGGACCAUCCGGCGCCCUCAGCGCCGGUGCACUCCGUGGGGCGCAGGCCAGCAUCGGUUUUCCUAGGGGGAUAAAGGCGGCGGGAACGUAGCUCCCUCGGGAGUGUUAUAGCCCGCCGUGCCAUGCCCCUGGGGGGACCGAGGACCGCG